RNAcentral lists this ribosomal RNA (454 nucleotides) under uncultured bacterium. Its description in RNAcentral is "partial 16S ribosomal RNA". It matches the Rfam family "Bacterial small subunit ribosomal RNA", at positions 28 to 507 of the family's 1533-position model. The record is from RNAcentral.
GAUGAACGCUGACAGAAUGCUUAACACAUGCAAGUCUACUUGAACUUCGGUUUGGGUGGCGGCCGGGUGAGUAACGCGUAAAGAACUUGCCUCACAGUUAGGGACAACAUUUGGAAGCGAAUGCUAAUACCUGAUAUUAUGAUUUUAGGGCAUCCUAAAAUUAUGAAAGCUAUAUGCGCUGUGAGAGAGCUUUGCGUCCCAUUAGCUAGUUGGAGAGGUAACGGCUCACCAAGGCGAUGAUGGGUAGCCGGCCUGAGAGGGUGAACGGCCACAAGGGGACUGAGACACGGCCCUUACUCCUACGGGAGGCAGCAGUGGGGAAUAUUGGACAAUGGACCAAAAGUCUGAUCCAGCAAUUCUGUGUGCACGAUGACGUUUUUCGGAAUGUAAAGUGCUUUCAGUUGGGAAGAAAAAAAUGACGGUACCAACAGAAGAAGUGACGGCUAAAUACGUG